CUACGUGCCAGCAGCCGCGGUAAUACGGAAGGUCCGGGCGUUAUCCGGAUUUAUUGGGUUUAAAGGGAGCGUAGGCCGGAGAUUAAGUGUGUUGUGAAAUGUAGACGCUCAACGUCUGACUUGCAGCGCAUACUGGUUUCCUUGAGUACGCACAACGUUGGCGGAAUUCGUCGUGUAGCGGUGAAAUGCUUAGAUAUGACGAAGAACUCCGAUUGCGAAGGCAGCUGACGGGAGCGCAACUGACGCUUAAGCUCGAAGGUGCGGGUAUCGAACAGGAUUAGAUACCCUGGUAGUCCGCACAGUAAACGAUGGAUGCCCGCUGUUGGUACCUGGUAUCAGCGGCUAAGCGAAAGCAUUAAGCAUCCCACCUGGGGAGUACGCCGGCAACGGUGAAGCUCAAAGGAAUUGACGGGGGCCCGCACAAGCGGAGGAACAUGUGGUUUAAUUCGAUGAUACGCGAGGAACCUUACCCGGGCUUGAAUUGCAGAGGAAGGAUUUAGAGAUA
This 505-nucleotide ribosomal RNA is filed under the name uncultured bacterium. RNAcentral's name for it is "bacterial SSU rRNA". It matches the Rfam family "Bacterial small subunit ribosomal RNA", at positions 501 to 1008 of the family's 1533-position model. The record is from RNAcentral.